Molecule: ribosomal RNA, 1683 nt
Filed under: Listeria monocytogenes
Lineage: Bacteria; Bacillati; Bacillota; Bacilli; Caryophanales; Listeriaceae
Description: partial 23S ribosomal RNA
Rfam family: Bacterial large subunit ribosomal RNA
Source: RNAcentral
AAAGCGAGUCUGAAUAGGGCGCAUAAGUAACAGGUCGUAGACCCGAAACCAGGUGAUCUACCCAUGUCCAGGAUGAAGGUAAGGUAAUACUUACUGGAGGUCCGAACCCACGCACGUUGAAAAGUGCGGGGAUGAGGUGUGGGUAGCGGAGAAAUUCCAAUCGAACUUGGAGAUAGCUGGUUCUCUCCGAAAUAGCUUUAGGGCUAGCCUCGAGGUAAAGAGUCAUGGAGGUAGAGCACUGUUUGGACUAGGGGCCCUUCUCGGGUUACCGAAUUCAGAUAAACUCCGAAUGCCAUGUACUUAUACUCGGGAGUCAGACUGCGAGUGAUAAGAUCCGUAGUCGAAAGGGAAACAGCCCAGACCACCAGUUAAGGUCCCCAAAUAUAUGUUAAGUGGAAAAGGAUGUGGGGUUGCUUAGACAACCAGGAUGUUGGCUUAGAAGCAGCCACCAUUGAAAGAGUGCGUAAUAGCUCACUGGUCGAGUGACCCCGCGCCGAAAAUGUACCGGGGCUAAACAUAUUACCGAAACUGUGGAUGAACCUCUUUAGAGGUUCGUGGUAGGAGAGCGUUCUAAGGGCGGUGAAGUCAGACCGGAAGGACUGGUGGAGCGCUUAGAAGUGAGAAUGCCGGUAUGAGUAGCGAAAGAAGGGUGAGAAUCCCUUCCACCGAAUAUCUAAGGUUUCCUGAGGAAGGCUCGUCCGCUCAGGGUUAGUCGGGACCUAAGCCGAGGCCGAUAGGCGUAGGCGAUGGACAACAGGUAGAGAUUCCUGUACCAGUGCUAAUUGUUUAACCGAUGGGGUGACACAGAAGGAUAGGGAAUCGCACGAAUGGAAAUGUGCGUCCAAGCAGUGAGUGUGAGAAGUAGGCAAAUCCGCUUCUCGCGAAGCAUGAGCUGUGAUGGGGAAGGAAAUUAAGUACGGAAGUUCCUGAUUUCACGCUGUCAAGAAAAGCCUCUAGGAAGAGUAGUACUGCCCGUACCGCAAACCGACACAGGUAGAUGAGGAGAGAAUCCUAAGGUGAGCGAGAGAACUCUCGUUAAGGAACUCGGCAAAAUGACCCCGUAACUUCGGGAGAAGGGGUGCUCUAUUAGGGUGCAAGCCCGAGAGAGCCGCAGUGAAUAGGCCCAGGCGACUGUUUAGCAAAAACACAGGUCUCUGCAAAACCGUAAGGUGACGUAUAGGGGCUGACGCCUGCCCGGUGCUGGAAGGUUAAGAGGAGUGCUUAGCUUCGGCGAAGGUACGAAUUGAAGCCCCAGUAAACGGCGGCCGUAACUAUAACGGUCCUAAGGUAGCGAAAUUCCUUGUCGGGUAAGUUCCGACCCGCACGAAAGGCGCAACGAUCUGGGCACUGUCUCAACGAGAGACUCGGUGAAAUUAUAGUACCUGUGAAGAUGCAGGUUACCCGCGACAGGACGGAAAGACCCCGUGGAGCUUUACUGCAACCUGAUAUGGAAUGUUUGUACCGCUUGUACAGGAUAGGUAGGAGCCGAAGAGACGUGUGCGCUAGCAUACGAGGAGGCAAUGGUGGGAUACUACCCUGGCUGUAUGACCAUUCUAACCCGCCACGCUUAGCGCGUGGGGAGACAGUGUCAGGUGGGCAGUUUGACUGGGGCGGUCGCCUCCUAAAGAGUAACGGAGGCGCCCAAAGGUUCCCUCAGAAUGGAUGGAAAUCAUUCGCAGAGUG